GGCUCGGGGCAGAGCAAUUAAAGGAUUUUCUCUACAACCUGUUGAGGCCUCCUGAGCUUCAACAGUGGAGGGGGAAGCCACUGUGUAUUUGCCAGACUUCACAUCUCACCUUGGAGCAAGUCAAGAGACAGGCAGGAAGAGCCUGUGCUACCACACCUGGGAUGGAUGCCUGCAGCCAUUCUGCCUCUGGCUCGGGUUUGGGUUCUGCUCCCUCUUGGGACCAGACCCUUCAUCUCAGCUCACAGAUGGACUGGAUGGUCCUGCCUCCCAGGACUCUGCAAGGCGCAGGCUGUGCUGCCAAGUAGGAGACACAUUGCCCUCUGACCUGUCCAGAUGUCUGUCUGCUGCUUCCCACCACCUUCUUGUCUUAGUUCUUAGGAGGCCAUAGUGCCCCUUUAACUGGUUACUCCCUGCCAUGCAUGGCCUGUACAUGUCAGGGUUGAGGCUCCUGUGUGAGCAGAGGGGCAGGAGCACAGGAGGAUGUCAGUGUCCAUCAUGAUCCAGAAGCACGAUGUCCUGUGUGCCAGGACCAGUCACCACAGAGGGCAAAAGGCUAAGGAGGUGCUGGGCUCAGGGAGGGGGUAGAGGCCCUGCAAAGACUUACAGGCAGGGAAGGACUAGCAAAGAUUGCCCGCGGAACUAGGACCCUCCUGACGGCCUUUCUUGCGUCCCAGAGGAUCCCCUCAAUUGUGCAAGGUGUUCCCUAACCGCGCUGGAGAGUUACAGAGGCAGCAUCAGGUGGGAAAGAGCACUGCCCGGGAGGCAGAAGGCCCAGUUUUUAUUACCAUAAACAGUAGCUAUUAUUAAAUAAUAAUAGCUGGACAGCUAGUAUGCGGCGCCAUUCCCACCCAUGUGGGUUUCACAGCCGUUUCCGGUGCAGCCAACCCCGUGCAGGUCUCCAGGACCGAGAACUCUCAUAAGGAGCGCACCGUGGCCGGGCAAUGGCAGGGUGGGCUUCAGUACCAACCGGUAAUCAAAGUCCGGGUUCCAAGCCCACCCAGUCACCCCUCUGGCCCCAAGCCAGAUGCCAGCGUCGGGGCUAGGUCCUCCCAGUCGACCAGACAUCGCUCAUUCCCGCGCACGGCCCCGCCCUUGUGUUAUAGCCCCUCCUUCGUGGUGGUGGUGGUGGUGGUGGGGAGACCCUUCGCUCAGCCCGCCUCCCGGCUUCAGCGCAUCCCAGUCCUUUUUUCCGGUCCACCUAGUUUAGACCCGGCUUAGGCUUAGGCGAUACCUGUAUCAGUUGGCCCCGCCCGAAGGAGACCUCAGGUAGCGAGGGCAAGGCCUCCGGGAGAGGAGGCUCAAGCGCAGCCACCCAGGGGCUGCGGUGGCCCCUGCAGAGCGCACCCGCUGCCCCCAGGUAUAGGCCAGGUCAGGAUCGGUGCCCCGCCUGCACACGGGCGGGGCAGCUGUUUGUUCAGCGGGAUGGGCCUUCUCAGUAGGCGGUUCUCCGCAAAUGAGCGGAUCCGGGUGGGCCCGGCAGGCAGGCCCGAGCGGUCAGGUGCCCCAUGCCCCAAGCCCGGGACUUGCUCUAGCCAUGGCCGAGCGGCACGAGAGCUGGGGGGUCCGCCUGGCCCGCCGCCUGGCUGGGUUAGGGAUCCGCAGGGAGCGCAGGGGGAAGCAGACCCCAGAGGAAGCCAGAGCCCGGGAUAGGCCCUGGGGUGGCCAGAGCUGCCCCGACCUGGCCCAAGGCCAGAGCAGCACCAACAAUGUCAGCCUCAAGACCCAAGCCAAGAGCCGCUCAGAGUGGGACCUUCAGGAUGGGAGCCGUGGUCCCUGGCUUUGGAAGCGAAGACACAGCUCAGGGGGGCCUGCUCAGCCCCUGGGGCGCCUACAGAGGCCAGCUGUGGGCAGCGCCUCUGACAUGGCCAACUAUGCCUCCAUGGGCCUGGAGAGCCCAGCGCUGGCAGCAGACUCUGCUGGUGCCAGGUGCCCCUCAUGCCCGGUGCCAGCUCCUGGAUAUUUGGAAGAGGGAACCCCAGACUGCCCUUGCUCACAACCCCCAUACAUGGCCCCAGAGGUCCCUCUGAAUCCUGAGCCACCUGGUAAUGUGAAAGACAUGCUGCCCCGCCCAGCAUCCCUCCUCAAGGCAGAGGGGACAAAGGGCAAGCCUGCCACCCCAGAGCCAGCGCUGCCAGAAACAGCCCAGAUCCAGCCUGAGUGUCCUUCUGCCAGGAGGACCCGCUACCACAUCACUGUCAUCCUGCAGGGGCGUGGGCAGACUGCUGGGGAAGAGGGUGAGGAGCCCAAACCGGCCCAACAAGCUCUCCACCCCUUCUGCCCUGAGGAAUUCAGGGGCUGGCAAAAUCCUCCCCAGGGGCUCCGCCCCAUCACGGGGUGCCCAACUGACCCACCCCAGGAGUCCCGGUUAAGAGCUUCACGGCAUCAGGAAAGCUCAGCCCAGCAGCAGGAGCUCCAGGCCCCCUGGAUACCUGGGUCCCCACACAGACGGGAGCUGGGCCAGACCGAACCAAGUACUCUUCAGGACGGGCUGCUGGAGCCCAGCAUGGAGGAGGCAGGCAGGUCCCCAGCUCGGACAGAGGCCCGAGUGGUGAGUGCCAGACUGGCAUGGCAGCAGCGGCCCCCUGCCCAGGAAGAGAGCAGACAUCGUUUUCACAAGGUGUCCUUGGUAUCGGAGGCCCACGUGGAAGCCCCUCAGAAGGAGAUGUUUGAGUACAGUCACCGUGGAGAGGGAGUCAAUGGUUUUGCUGCAGGGGGAGAAGAGACUGUGAAUCACCGAGGCCCCCGAGUUGGGGCUGACUCCAAGAGCUUCCAGAGCCAUGGGCCCAUCUUUUCCAAAAAGUACACACUACCUCCCAGGGAUAAGAGGCUGGUGGGGAGGCUGAAAGAGGCUGUGGACCAGAGUGAUGGCAGCUCCCAAGACCCUAGGACUGAGCCACCAAGCCUGGGAGCCAUAGCAAGGAGUGAGCUCUUGGUGCCCCUGCCUGGGCCCCGUGAGCCAAGCCCCCACCCAGGUACGAGCCUUGAGAAACGGCGGGUGACACGCACUGUGCGGACCACUGUAGUAGUAGGAGGGCAUGUGGACCAACGGGUGAGAAGCUCUGUGACCUUGGAGCCAGUGCUGCCUAGGGGCCGCAGUGUUGUCCGGGCGGUGGUGGUGAGCCCCAGGGUUGAGGGCUUGCCCAGCCGCAGUCAGGCCCUGGAGCUGCUAAGUAGUAUUGUGCCUGCUGAGCAAAAGCCACCUGCCAGCAGGCUUCCCCGGCCCAUGGCUCCGGUGCCAAGGAGUGCAGGUCUGAGCAGCACAGUGGACACAGCCCUGGGACAGCUCCCCGAGAUGGAGAAACCAGAGCCAAAAGACAGAUCUGCCCCAGACCCUGUAGGUAUCCCAGAGGGUGCUCACUCACCUCAGAACCAAGAGGUCCCUGCAGCCCGCCCAGACCAAGACCAGGUCCGAGCUUGGGACACUACGGACCAUGAGGUCCCAAGGGUGCAGGGAGCCUCUAACCCCCCCACCCAGCUCUCCCUCCACACCUCUCAGGGCCACACACCAGUACCCUCUCCUCCCAGACUCCAGACCCACACCCCUUCCCCAGUCCUAGACCACGUUCCCGAGCAGCCUGUGGUGCCCUCUCACCCCAGAGUCCAGCUCAUCCUUGACCCCCAGGGACCCCAGGCCCUGCCCUCUGUAAAAAAGGAGGGGAUCACAGGUCCCCCUGCUGCCACCGUCAUGCCUAUGGGAACCAGUGAGGCUGCUACUGUUCCUGGACAACCUCCAUCCUCUCCAAGAAGGAAGUGUAUCCCCAGCCCAGAAAAUCUGUCUGCUCCCUCUUCCCCAAGGAAUAAGGUUGUUCAGGACUCUGAAAACGGCCCUAUCUUCCCCUUUACCCAGAAAGAGACAGUGGAGGUCCCUGAUAUUCCUGCUGACACAGCCCCCACCCACAAAGGGGUUGUGCAGGGUCCCGGUACUCCUGCUGCUUCAUCCCCCAAACCAACUGAGGUUGUCCAGGAUCCAGAAGGCAGGCCUAGCACCCCCCCAAAAGUCAUCCAGGGUAUUGAGAGCAGCCAUGGCUCUUCCCUCACCAAGGAAGAGUCUGUUCAAGGCCUGAUUGCUCCUGCAAUCCCAUCCUCCCACAAGGAUGAGGUUGUCCAGGACUCUGAAGGGAGCCCCAUCUCAUCUCCCACCCAAACCCAAAAGGAGGUUGUCCAGGGCCCUGCUGUUCUCCCUGCUCCCUCCUCCUCAGUGGGCGAGGUGCCCCCCAGCCCAGGAGGACCCCCAGACCCAGAGCCAAUGGGAACAGGGGCCAGCCCCGAGUCCCGGCUUGUCCCUGACUCCACUGAAGACAAGACGCUCCUGCAGUCAUUGAGGGACGAGGAGGAGGUGGCCCUGGAUGCCGACCUGGAGACUUUCCUGGACACCCUGCGGAGCAUGGAGUCCCCUGAGAUCCUCCGCACUCACCGGCUGCCACGAGCGCCCCGCUCCUCCUACCUGGCCAUGUACGCCACGCUACCCGCUAUUGAGGAGGACCAGCCCAGGCCAGGGGCACUGGGACCCAGCCCCCAGGAGGUGCCUGCACUGGAAGAAAAGGAAGAAGAGGAGGAAGAGGAGGAGGAACCAGAGAACCCCUACCUGAGUGAUGAUGAGAAGCUCCAGCGCAGGCAGGAGAAAGCCUGGGGCCUCUGGGACUCCGGCCCUACCAGGCCCCACCAGACCUCUUCUUCUCCUCUGGAGAUGAUGAAGAAGCAUGUCACAGAUGCCAAGCGCUCCCAGUCAGAGCCAGGGUCAGAGUGGCAGACGGGCACGAGGCCUACUUCCCGCCUUGGAGGCAGUCUUUUCUUUGGUGGUCUGGUGCCUACCACCAAGGAGGUCCUCACCUUCGGAUCACUGGGCACAAAACUCUCUGCUCUGCCUCCCCAUGAGGCACCAGGGCUCAGAAAGGUGCCAGGACAGCUGCCCCUGCUCUGCAGCGAAAAGUUGCCGACAGAGAAGGCUGAAUGUGCUGGGCCCCCUGAGGGCUGGAGUUCAGCACCGAAGACCCAGGGCAAACUGAACACCAGGCCAGGAAAGGUGAUCCUCUUCUCAGAGCCCGGCUGCCAAGGCAGCAGCAGGGAGGUUUGGGAAGACAUUGCUGAUGCCUCCGGCUGGGCCCAGGUGGCCUCCAUAAGGGUGCUUCGAGGCUGCUGGGUGCUAUAUGAAGAGCCAGAGUUCCAGGGCCAGAAGCUGGUCCUGCCUGAAGGAGAUGUGGAACUCAGGGCCUCAGGGACAGCGUGGAGUCUCAAAAGCAUCGGGUCCCUGAGGAGGGUUGUCCAGGACUAUGUUACCCCAGAGAUCAGCCUGUACUCUGAGAAGGGCCUCCAGGGGGAGCAAGUGAAGCUAACCGAGCCCUUGGAGGACCCCCAGAGCCUGAAGAGGCCCAUGCAGGUGGCAUCUGCCACUGUCUCUGCAGGACUGUGGCUGCUGUACCCCAAACCCUUGUUUGAAGGCACUCCCUGCAUCCUGGAACCUGGAGAGUACCCCAACUCUGAGGCCUGGGGUACAUCAGACCCCAGUGUGGGCUCCCUGAAGCCCAUAAAAUUGGGCUGCCCAAGAGUGGAGAAGCCAGGGGAGCCCAAGGCUGUGGUGUAUGAGGCCCCAGGCUUUCAGGGCCAAAGCUGGGAAGUGAGCCGAGACAUCUACAACCUUCAGCAGCCAGAGGACAGUCACAGCCCCCACCUGGCCUCUGUGGGGUCCCUGCAAAUUCUUGGAGGCUGCUGGGUGGGCUAUGAGAAGGAAGGCUUCAGGGGCCACCAGUAUCUGCUGGAGGAGGGGGAAUACCCUGACUGGUCACACUGGGGAGGCUAUGAUGAGGCGCUGAUCUCCCUACGGGUCAUCAGGACGGCCACACUGAUCACCUCACCCCAAAGUCCCCUGCUGGUCUGCCUCCCUGGGGUCUGGUUACUCCCAGGGGUUUCAGUGGGUGGGCGGGAGAGACCUGACUGUCCCUGGGGCCCAGGACUUCUCGGAUCCGGCUGUGGUGCUGUUUGAGGCCAUGGACUUCGAGGGGCACCACGUAGAGGUGAGCGAGGCACUGCCGGACGUGGAGCUGGCGGGACAUCGCACUCACACGCAGUCUAUCCACGUGCUCAGCGGCGUGUGGGUGGCCUAUCAGGAGGUGGGCUUCUCCGGGGAACAGUUUGUGCUGGAGAAAGGAGUGUACCGCAACUGCGACGACUGGGGCGCAGGCAACAGCGCCCUCGCUUCGCUUCAGCCGGUCCUGCAG
Molecule: RNA transcript, 6215 nt
Organism: Phyllostomus hastatus (greater spear-nosed bat)
Lineage: Eukaryota; Metazoa; Chordata; Mammalia; Chiroptera; Phyllostomidae
Gene: CRYBG2
Gene name: crystallin beta-gamma domain containing 2
Exons: 14
Source: RefSeq, a predicted model, not a curated record